Molecule: ribosomal RNA, 567 nt
Filed under: uncultured bacterium
Lineage: Bacteria
Description: bacterial SSU rRNA
Rfam family: Bacterial small subunit ribosomal RNA
Source: RNAcentral
CCUACGGGAGGCAGCAGUGGGGAAUAUUGGGCAAUGGAGGAAACUCUGACCCAGCGACGCCGCGUGCGGGAUGAAGGCCUUCGGGUUGUAAACCGCUUUCAGCAGGGAAGAAGCGAAAGUGACGGUACCUGCAGAAGAAGCACCGGCUAACUAUGUGCCAGCAGCCGCGGUAAUACAUAGGGUGCAAGCGUUGUCCGGAAUUAUUGGGCGUAAAGAGCUCGUAGGUGGUUCGUCACGUCGGAUGUGAAAAUCUGGGGCUUAACCCCAGACCUGCAUUCGAUACGGGCGAGCUUGAGUAUGGUAGGGGAGUCUGGAAUUCCUGGUGUAGCGGUGGAAUGCGCAGAUAUCAGGAGGAACACCAAUGGCGAAGGCAGGACUCUGGGCCAUUACUGACACUGAGGAGCGAAAGCGUGGGGAGCGAACAGGAUUAGAUACCCUGGUAGUCCACGCCGUAAACGGUGGGCACUAGUUGUGGGGACCUUCCACGGUCUCUGCGACGCAGCUAACGCAUUAAGUGCCCCGCCUGGGGAGUACGAUCGCAAGAUUAAAACUUAAAGGAAUUGACGG